UGGGGAAUAUUGCACAAUGGGCGCAAGCCUGAUGCAGCGACGCCGCGUGAGGGAUGGAGGCCUUCGGGUUGUAAACCUCUUUCGCCAGUGAAGCAGGCCAUCUUCUUUGUGGGGUGGUUGACGGUAGCUGGAUAAGAAGCGCCGGCUAACUACGUGCCAGCAGCCGCGGUAAUACGUAGGGCGCGAGCGUGGUCCGGAAUUAUUGGGCGUAAAGAGCUCGUAGGCGGCUGGUCGCGUCUGUCGUGCGAUUCCCUGGCUUGACUGGGGGCUUGCUGUGGGUACGGGCCGGCUUGAGUGCGGUAGGGGAGACUGGAAUUCCUGGUGUAGCGGUGGAAUGCGCAGAUAUCAGGAGGAACACCGGUGGCGAAGGCGGGUCUCUGGGCCGUUACUGACGCUGAGGAGCGAAAGCGUGGGGAGCGAACAGG
Molecule: ribosomal RNA, 425 nt
Filed under: bacterium
Lineage: Bacteria
Description: partial 16S ribosomal RNA
Rfam family: Bacterial small subunit ribosomal RNA
Source: RNAcentral